Molecule: ribosomal RNA, 218 nt
Filed under: Gammaproteobacteria bacterium
Lineage: Bacteria; Pseudomonadati; Pseudomonadota; Gammaproteobacteria
Description: partial 16S ribosomal RNA
Rfam family: Bacterial small subunit ribosomal RNA
Source: RNAcentral
UGAUUGAAGAGUUUGAUCAUGGCUCAGAUUGAACGUUGGCGGCAGGUUUCAUACAUGCAAGUCGAACGGGGAGGACUCCUUCGGGAGUACCAACCCAGUGGCGGACGGGUGAGUAACGCGUAGGAAUCUACCUAGUAGUGGGGAAUAACGCCAGGAGACUGGCGCUAAUACCGCAUACGACCUAAGGGUGAAAGCGGGGGAUCUUCGGACCUCGCGCU